UCCGGAUCCAACGUGAACAUUGAAGGUUCAGUCCAAAGCUUGCUGAAGAAAUUCGCUGAAAGCUUCAAACGCGAUUCUUCCAAAAGCACUUCCUAGAAGCACUUCUCUCCUCUCACCGGCGUUGACAUUAACGCCUCUAAAUCCUUCCAUUCACACGAACUCCGGUAAAACUCUCUCGGAGCUAAACAAAUCUCGAAACGUAAAAACCGAAUCCUAAUACGCGAGUUCAGGAACUAAACGGCGAUGGAGAAAAGUCACAUACCGUAAUGGUUUUCGCAACGUUCACCGACGAGAAGCGGAUCGAGAGCUUUCGGAUCUACUUCUCCUGUUCUUCUUCUACUUCAAUCUUCCUCGCCGUUCUCUGGUGCUUUGAAUCGCGGCGUUCACGUAUCUUGAAUCGAAGGCGCGGUUCGAUCGUUGGAUUCGAGAGGAUUCACUGAAGCAAGGGACGCCCUGGAUUGGGGACGGAAUCAAAGUCCAGCAAGAACAGCCAAUGAAUUCGCCGGCAAAGAUGACCGACGCAACGACGAGGUUAAUGGAAGCUCGUCUCAGAGACUGAAGCAGAGUGGAUUCUAGCUCAACCGAUCAAAGCUUCAACGUGGAGCUUUGAUGGCUUUGUCUCAGAGCUUUGGUAAGGGUGGAAUGGUGGUGAAGAUGCGGAAUAGAAGAUGGAAACUGGAAGAAGCAGGUUGAGAGUGAUGAUUGAAGAGGAGUUCUUGGAGGAGGUUGUGGGGUUUUCUGUUAGAAGUUGGUUAGAGGUUUGCUUAGGUUGGAAGAAUGUAGAGAAGGUUGUGUAGGGGAUGUAUGGAGGUUCGCGUGAAUGGAAGGUUGCAGGUUUGGUUAGGGUGAAGAAACUUUUGUUGAAUGGUGAUGGAGGUGGUAGAAGAAACUGUGAAUUGUUGAAUUAUGGAAAGACGAUCGAAGAGCUUGAAUUGAAGAUGGAGGAUGGUUCUUAUAGGAGAGUAAAGUUAGAGAGAUGGUUGGUUAUGACAGUUGGAAAUUGUUAUGAGAGUUGAAAGUUGUUAUGAGAGUUGAAGGAUCCAUGAUGAUGAAUGAUGAAGAGUGAAGUUAUCUCCUCCCAAAAAUUUGUGAGUUUCAUUUACUCCCUCAUUUAUCCUAGAAAUUCUCUCAUCUACUUCUCUUUCUGUUUCUGUUUAGUGAAUUGGUUCGUUAGAAGUUGUUAGGAAAAACCGUUAGAGGUUGUUAGAUUUCGGUUAGGUUAGUUGGAGGAAAGAAUGGUUUUUUGAAGAAGGUUAGGGAGAGUCCUCAGAACUGAUGCAGUUUCCAUGAGGUGGAAAGUCUGAGAUGAGUCAUGGUUCAGGUUUUUGGAAAGGAAGUUUGUUGGAAUUUCUGUUGGGAGUUUUCGGUUAGCAGGGAGGCUGGGAAUUUCCUAGAAUCGUUCAAUUGAGGCAAUUUAGGGAAUUGGUUAGAGUUUAGGGAAUUGGUUAGAGUCAGUUAUGUUGAGGGUUAUAUUAAAGGGUUUUUUCUUUUAACAGUUAGCAUUCUGUUAUGAGGCGGUUAUGGCACUUGGCAGGUUAGUUACCGAGUCGGUUCUCACACGAAGUUAGUCCUGGUUUCAGUGAGUGUUUCCAAUUCUCUAUUAUGCUAUGCUUCUAUUUUGCCUCCUUUCCACUGUUAUGCUUUUGCUUUCUUUUAUGCAGGUUUUUGUUAGAAGGUUGUUGAUAGUUGGGAGUUAUGAAUGAGUUGGAAGUUAUGAAGGGUCAAUGACAGUUGGCAGUUUGUUAUAUGGUUAUGACAGUUUUAGAGAAAUGGAUGCACAACUGUUAGUUUGUUUCUAUUGAAUAUGGCUUGGAUGGAAUUCCUGUUAGAGAGCAGCUUCCCUAGCUGCAUCUCGAACUUCAGGCUUCUCGGCUCUUUUCUUCUGAAUGACUUCCAGGAUAGCACCAACAAUUGACCUAGAGUAUGGCUUCUUGGUAGCACGACGUCUCUUCUUUACAGCUUCUUGAGCAAUGUCCUUCUUGUGUUGCUUUCUGAGAAUCACUGCGAAUAAAUCUGAUGCCUCUUCCUGGGUAGAUCUUUGCACCACUGAAUCGGCAGAGUUCAGUCUAGAGAACCAUUGUUGCUUCUCCGCUGGUGGCUGCUUCUGUUAUUUAAGGUUAUACUUCCUAUAGGCAUGUGAAUGAACUCCGUGAAAUCGGCCAUGGCUCUAGGUUUCUUUUCAGCAGAAAGAUGAUACUUGGCCAAUGCAGAGACAACUCUUUCACGGUAAUCGGGAUCGGCCCAUUCUGCAGCAAUGGCUUGUGCAAUUUUCUUUUUCUGUUCAGGGGAUUUGGGUGCUCUGUUGCUGGAUGGUGCCCUGGCCAUUAGUUUCCGCUGUUCAAGAGUCUGGAACCAGUCCCGCCGAAGCUGACCAUCCAACGUUUCAUAGGAAUUCCAUUGCAGCUCUUCCUGACCAAUAAAGCCUUGCCUGGAUGCUUCUGCAAUUAAAUUUUGCCACUGAAAUGUUUUAUGGUUGUAAAUGUAUGGUUGUGAUCACAUGAUAUAGAAUAAAAUUGGACUUGUGUUGGAUUGGAAUUUUAAAUGAAGAUGAAUGUAUCAGUUGGUUCA
Long non-coding RNA from Lathyrus oleraceus (garden pea), 2568 nucleotides. RefSeq lists it as uncharacterized. The record is from RefSeq and is a predicted model, not a curated record. The transcript is spliced from 4 exons. NCBI's taxonomy places the organism in Eukaryota, Viridiplantae, Streptophyta, Magnoliopsida, Fabales, Fabaceae.